Molecule: unclassified non-coding RNA, 511 nt
Filed under: Hevea brasiliensis (rubber tree)
Lineage: Eukaryota; Viridiplantae; Streptophyta; Magnoliopsida; Malpighiales; Euphorbiaceae
Source: RNAcentral
GUUGGUGAGUAUGGGGAUUGACCUGCAGAAUGCAUCAAAAACUUCAAGACAAGAUGUUUUGUGAUAAGCCAAAAAUUCAACAAGGCAAGCUAUUGCUGCUACAGGUAUCAUAGAAACUUCAAUGAGAAAAAUCAAAUUAAUCUUGAAAGGCAGAAAGUAAGGAGAUGACAAGUAGCUCUCACACCCCUUCCCCUUUAGAUGGAAAUCAUUUUCAAGUCCAAUAGCAUCCAAAGAACCAAAAGACACAUUGCUAGCCAGUUGCUGCCUAUUUUUCUCCUUGUCAAUUUCAAUUUUCCCCUCGAGUUAGCUAAACUAAAUUGUUAAAAAUACCAAGCUACCAACUGUAAUCUCCCUCACAAAAAGGUUCACGUAGCCACAAUUAAAGUAGUCAGCAAAAUUUGAAGUGUUAACUGGUAGUAAAGUGUUUGUGCAAGGGUCAAUUCUUUGAAGUAUCAAAAUAACGAGGGACAGACUGUUAGUAAAUCUUACCAGUAAAUUCUGUGGCUUAAUA